GCCAGGCGUUGUGGCGGGUGCCUGUAGUUCCAGCUACUUGGGAGGCAGAGGCAGGAGACUCGCUUGAGCCCAGGAGUUGGAGGUUGCUCUGAGCUGUGAAGCCAUGGCACUCUACCCAGGGGGAUAGCUUGAGGCUCCGUCUCAAAAAAAAAAAAAAAGGAAAUACAGUCCCAGCUACUAAGGAGGCAGAGGUGGGAAGAUCACUUGAGCCCAGGUCUUUUUUUUUUUUUUUUUUUUGAGACAGAACCUCAAACUAUCCCCCUGGGUAGAGUGCCAUGGCAUCACGCUCACAGCAACCUCCAACCCUGGGCUCAAGCGAGUCUCCUGCCUCAG
Molecule: non-coding RNA, 333 nt
Organism: Otolemur garnettii (small-eared galago)
Lineage: Eukaryota; Metazoa; Chordata; Mammalia; Primates; Galagidae
Source: Rfam